This 2881-nucleotide ribosomal RNA is filed under the name Pseudomonas putida. RNAcentral's name for it is "bacterial LSU rRNA". It matches the Rfam family "Bacterial large subunit ribosomal RNA". Lineage: Bacteria; Pseudomonadati; Pseudomonadota; Gammaproteobacteria; Pseudomonadales; Pseudomonadaceae. The record is from RNAcentral.
AGAAGCGCAUACGGUGGAUGCCUUGGCAGUCAGAGGCGAUGAAAGACGUGGUAGCCUGCGAUAAGCUUUGGGGAGUCGGCAAACAGACUGUGAUCCAGAGAUCUCUGAAUGGGGGAACCCACUCAGCAUAAGCUGAGUAUCUUGUACUGAAUACAUAGGUGCAAGAGGCGAACCAGGGGAACUGAAACAUCUAAGUACCCUGAGGAAAAGAAAUCAACCGAGAUUCCCUUAGUAGUGGCGAGCGAACGGGGACCAGCCCUUAAGUUGGUUUGAGAUUAGUGGAACGCUCUGGAAAGUGCGGCCAUAGUGGGUGAUAGCCCCGUACACGAAAAUCUCUUAUCAAUGAAAUCGAGUAGGACGGAGCACGAGAAACUUUGUCUGAACAUGGGGGGACCAUCCUCCAAGGCUAAAUACUACUGACUGACCGAUAGUGAACCAGUACCGUGAGGGAAAGGCGAAAAGAACCCCGGAGAGGGGAGUGAAAUAGAACCUGAAACCGUAUGCGUACAAGCAGUGGGAGCCUACUUUGUUAGGUGACUGCGUACCUUUUGUAUAAUGGGUCAGCGACUUAUAUUCAGUGGCGAGCUUAACCGAAUAGGGGAGGCGUAGCGAAAGCGAGUCUUAAUAGGGCGUUUAGUCGCUGGGUAUAGACCCGAAACCGGGCGAUCUAUCCAUGGGCAGGUUGAAGGUUAGGUAACACUGACUGGAGGACCGAACCGACUACCGUUGAAAAGUUAGCGGAUGACCUGUGGAUCGGAGUGAAAGGCUAAUCAAGCUCGGAGAUAGCUGGUUCUCCUCGAAAGCUAUUUAGGUAGCGCCUCAUGUAUCACUGUAGGGGGUAGAGCACUGUUUCGGCUAGGGGGUCAUCCCGACUUACCAAACCGAUGCAAACUCCGAAUACCUACAAGUGCCGAGCAUGGGAGACACACGGCGGGUGCUAACGUCCGUCGUGAAAAGGGAAACAACCCAGACCGUCAGCUAAGGUCCCAAAGUCAUGGUUAAGUGGGAAACGAUGUGGGAAGGCUUAGACAGCUAGGAGGUUGGCUUAGAAGCAGCCACCCUUUAAAGAAAGCGUAAUAGCUCACUAGUCGAGUCGGCCUGCGCGGAAGAUGUAACGGGGCUCAAACCAUGCACCGAAGCUACGGGUAUCACCUUUAGGUGAUGCGGUAGAGGAGCGUUCUGUAAGCCUGUGAAGGUGAGUUGAGAAGCUUGCUGGAGGUAUCAGAAGUGCGAAUGCUGACAUGAGUAACGACAAUGCGAGUGAAAAACUCGCACGCCGAAAGACCAAGGUUUCCUGCGCAACGUUAAUCGACGCAGGGUUAGUCGGUCCCUAAGGCGAGGCUGAAAAGCGUAGUCGAUGGAAAACAGGUUAAUAUUCCUGUACUUCCAGUUAUUGCGAUGGAGGGACGGAGAAGGCUAGGCCAGCUUGGCGUUGGUUGUCCAAGUUUAAGGUGGUAGGCUGAGAUCUUAGGCAAAUCCGGGAUCUUAAGGCCGAGAGCUGAUGACGAGUGCUCAUUAGAGCGCGAAGUGGUUGAUGCCAUGCUUCCAAGAAAAGCUCCUAAGCUUCAGAUAACUGGGAACCGUACCCCAAACCGACACAGGUGGUUAGGUAGAGAAUACCAAGGCGCUUGAGAGAACUCGGGUGAAGGAACUAGGCAAAAUGGCACCGUAACUUCGGGAGAAGGUGCGCCGGCGAGGGUUAAGGACUUGCUCCGUAAGCCCAUGCCGGUCGAAGAUACCAGGCCGCUGCGACUGUUUAUUAAAAACACAGCACUCUGCAAACACGAAAGUGGACGUAUAGGGUGUGACGCCUGCCCGGUGCCGGAAGGUUAAUUGAUGGGGUUAGCGCAAGCGAAGCUCUUGAUCGAAGCCCCGGUAAACGGCGGCCGUAACUAUAACGGUCCUAAGGUAGCGAAAUUCCUUGUCGGGUAAGUUCCGACCUGCACGAAUGGCGUAACGAUGGCGGCGCUGUCUCCACCCGAGACUCAGUGAAAUUGAAAUCGCUGUGAAGAUGCAGUGUAUCCGCGGCUAGACGGAAAGACCCCGUGAACCUUUACUAUAGCUUUGCACUGGACUUUGAAUUUGCUUGUGUAGGAUAGGUGGGAGGCUUUGAAGUGGGGACGCCAGUUCUCAUGGAGCCAUCCUUGAAAUACCACCCUGGCAACUUUGAGGUUCUAACUCAGGUCCGUUAUCCGGAUCGAGGACAGUGUAUGGUGGGUAGUUUGACUGGGGCGGUCUCCUCCCAAAGAGUAACGGAGGAGUACGAAGGUGCGCUCAGACCGGUCGGAAAUCGGUCGUAGAGUAUAAAGGCAAAAGCGCGCUUGACUGCGAGACAAACACGUCGAGCAGGUACGAAAGUAGGUCUUAGUGAUCCGGUGGUUCUGUAUGGAAGGGCCAUCGCUCAACGGAUAAAAGGUACUCCGGGGAUAACAGGCUGAUACCGCCCAAGAGUUCAUAUCGACGGCGGUGUUUGGCACCUCGAUGUCGGCUCAUCACAUCCUGGGGCUGAAGCCGGUCCCAAGGGUAUGGCUGUUCGCCAUUUAAAGUGGUACGCGAGCUGGGUUUAGAACGUCGUGAGACAGUUCGGUCCCUAUCUGCCGUGGACGUUUGAGAUUUGAGAGGGGCUGCUCCUAGUACGAGAGGACCGGAGUGGACGAACCUCUGGUGUUCCGGUUGUCACGCCAGUGGCAUUGCCGGGUAGCUAUGUUCGGAAGAGAUAACCGCUGAAAGCAUCUAAGCGGGAAACUUGCCUCAAGAUGAGAUCUCACUGGAACCUUGAGUUCCCUAAAGGGCCGUCGAAGACUACGACGUUGAUAGGUUGGGUGUGUAAGCGCUGUGAGGCGUUGAGCUAACCAAUACUAAUUGCCCGUGAGGCUUGACC